RNAcentral lists this ribosomal RNA (1170 nucleotides) under uncultured bacterium. RNAcentral describes it as "bacterial SSU rRNA". It matches the Rfam family "Bacterial small subunit ribosomal RNA", at positions 37 to 1172 of the family's 1533-position model. The record is from RNAcentral.
UGGCGGCGUGCCUAAUACAUGCAAGUCGAACGCACUGACGUCGACAGAAGGUGCUUGCACUGGAAGUUGAUUGACGUGAGUGGCGGACGGGUGAGUAACACGUGGGUAACCUGCCCUUAAGCGGGGGAUAACAUUUGGAAACAGAUGCUAAUACCGCAUAAAAGUUGAGAUCACAUGGUCUUAAUUUGAAAGACGGCCUUUGGCUGUCACUUAAGGAUGGACCCGCGGCGUAUUAGCUAGUUGGUGAGAUAAUAGCCCACCAAGGCGAUGAUACGUAGCCGACCUGAGAGGGUAAUCGGCCACAUUGGGACUGAGACACGGCCCAAACUCCUACGGGAGGCAGCAGUAGGGAAUCUUCCACAAUGGACGAAAGUCUGAUGGAGCAACGCCGCGUGAGUGAAGAAGGUUUUCGGAUCGUAAAACUCUGUUGUUGGAGAAGAACAGGGACUAGAGUAACUGUUAGUCCUUUGACGGUAUCCAACCAGAAAGCCACGGCUAACUACGUGCCAGCAGCCGCGGUAAUACGUAGGUGGCAAGCGUUGUCCGGAUUUAUUGGGCGUAAAGCGAGCGCAGGCGGUUUCUUAAGUCUGAUGUGAAAGCCUUCGGCUUAACCGAAGAAGUGCAUCAGAUACUGGGAAACUUGAGUGCAGAAGAGGAAAGUGGAACUCCAUGUGUAGCGGUGAAAUGCGUAGAUAUAUGGAAGAACACCAGUGGCGAAGGCGGCUUUCUGGUCUGUAACUGACGCUGAGGCUCGAAAGUAUGGGGAGCGAACAGGAUUAGAUACCCUGGUAGUCCAUACCGUAAACGAUGAAUGCUAAGUGUUGGAGGGUUUCCGCCCUUCAGUGCUGCAGCUAACGCAUUAAGCAUUCCGCCUGGGGAGUACGACCGCAAGGUUGAAACUCAAAGGAAUUGACGGGGGCCCGCACAAGCGGUGGAGCAUGUGGUUUAAUUCGAAGCUACGCGAAGAACCUUACCAGGUCUUGACAUCUAGCGCCAAUCCUAGAGAUAGGACGUUCCCUUCGGGGACGCUAAGACAGGUGGUGCAUGGUUGUCGUCAGCUCGUGUCGUGAGAUGUUGGGUUAAGUCCCGCAACGAGCGCAACCCUUAUGAUUAGUUGCCAGCAUUUAGUUGGGCACUAAAGUCAGACUGCCGGUGACAAACCGGAGGAAG